GACAGCAGUAGCCACGGUAAUACGUAGGUGGCAAGCGUUGUCCGGAAUUAUUGGGCGUAAAGGGCUCGCAGGCGGUUUCUUAAGUCUGAUGUGAAAGCCCCCGGCUCAACCGGGGAGGGUCAUUGGAAACUGGGAAACUUGAGUGCAGAAGAGGAGAGUGGAAUUCCACGUGUAGCGGUGAAAUGCGUAGAGAUGUGGAGGAACACCAGUGGCGAAGGCGACUCUCUGGUCUGUAACUGACGCUGAGGAGCGAAAGCGUGGGGAGCGAACAGGAUUAGAUACCCCAGUAGUCCCUGUCUCUUAUAA
Molecule: ribosomal RNA, 306 nt
Filed under: uncultured bacterium
Lineage: Bacteria
Description: partial 16S ribosomal RNA
Rfam family: Bacterial small subunit ribosomal RNA
Source: RNAcentral